ACAAUAAUGGAGAUGAGAUCUUGGAAUCUGAACUUCUCUGGUGCAGUGUUACCCCCGUGCAAUGUAACAAACCAUGAAGCAGUUCUAAAGUACCCUGGAUGCACAGUCAGGGCCCCCGCAGUGUUGCCGCCGGGUGUCCAUGAGUCAGAGAAGCAGAGAUUUGUCGUGGAGGGAUUGUCUGGCAAGCAUUCGUCGGGCUGCUUCAGACAAGGAUGAGGAUCUGAAGGCCUACCGCACUUACCCACCUCAAGGCAACACUGGUCUAAGGCUUGAACAUGGCUUCACCCAGGCCAACUUCUGUAUCCUUGGUCACACUAACAGUGACGGCUGAGAAGAUGCAGUUCAAUACUCUGAGUCUUCCUAUCACUCAGCAAGAAUGCCCGGUGGGGCUUGGAAAACAACCUUAUUGCUCGGAUCACAGCCAGGUAGAGGGUGGUCUCCUGGGUGGAACCGUUCCUGCAAGGACAAGGUUUAUCAAGCAUCUACAAAGACAAUUCUCUUUCUCUCUUUUUUUCUUUUCUUUUCUUUUUUUAAGAAAGGAAAUGUUGGAGUCCUUGGAUCAAUUUUUCAAUGUCUUUGGAAGCUUUAGGUGUUUGUUUUUCCUAAGUAUAUUCUUUGGAAAGCCUGGAGAGGAAAGAAAAGUGGUCCAAUUGCACACAGAUGGUAAACCCACAGCUCCCAUCAACAGCAGCAAAGAAAUAAUCUUGACUCAAGCAGGCAAACUCUGAAAUAGGAAAUAAAGCCUUGUGAGAAUGAGGAAUGAAAGUCCCC
RNAcentral lists this long non-coding RNA (771 nucleotides) under Felis catus (domestic cat). RNAcentral describes it as "lncRNA (ENSFCAG00000052763.1)". Lineage: Eukaryota; Metazoa; Chordata; Mammalia; Carnivora; Felidae. The record is from RNAcentral.